GAUGUGAAAUCCCGGGGCUCAACCUCGGACCUGCAUUCGAUACUGGCAAGCUAGAGUGUGGUAGAGGAGACUGGAAUUCCUGGUGUAGCGGUGAAAUGCGCAGAUAUCAGGAGGAACACCGAUGGCGAAGGCAGGUCUCUGGGCCAAUACUGACACUGAGGCGCGAAAGCGUGGGGAGCAAACAGGAUUAGAUACCCUGGUAGUCCACGCCGUAAACGA
This 219-nucleotide ribosomal RNA is filed under the name uncultured Actinomycetes bacterium. RNAcentral's name for it is "uncultured actinobacterium partial 16S ribosomal RNA". It matches the Rfam family "Bacterial small subunit ribosomal RNA", at positions 591 to 809 of the family's 1533-position model. Lineage: Bacteria; Bacillati; Actinomycetota; Actinomycetes. The record is from RNAcentral.